This 466-nucleotide ribosomal RNA is filed under the name Vreelandella stevensii. Its description in RNAcentral is "partial 16S ribosomal RNA". It matches the Rfam family "Bacterial small subunit ribosomal RNA", at positions 338 to 795 of the family's 1533-position model. Lineage: Bacteria; Pseudomonadati; Pseudomonadota; Gammaproteobacteria; Oceanospirillales; Halomonadaceae. The record is from RNAcentral.
CCUACGGGGUGCUGCAGUGGGGAAUAUUGGACAAUGGGCGAAAGCCUGAUCCAGCCAUGCCGCGUGUGUGAAGAAGGCCUUCGGGUUGUAAAGCACUUUCAGUGGGGAAGAAAGCCUUGGGGCUAAUACCCUCGAGGAAGGACAUCACCCACAGAAGAAGCACCGGCUAACUCCGUGCCAGCAGCCGCAGGUAAUACGGAGGGUGCGAGCGUUAAUCGGAAUUACUGGGCGUAAAGCGCGCGUAGGCGGUCUGAUAAGCCGGUUGUGAAAGCCCCGGGCUCAACCUGGGAACGGCAUCCGGAACUGUCAGGCUAGAGUGCAGGAGAGGAAGGUAGAAUUCCCGGUGUAGCGGUGAAAUGCGUAGAGAUCGGGAGGAAUACCAGUGGCGAAGGCGGCCUUCUGGACUGACACUGACGCUGAGGUGCGAAAGCGUGGGUAGCAAACAGGAUUAGAUACCCCUGUAGUC